AUGGUCAGACCACUUUGGGGAAGCUCUAGGAGGCGAGGGGCGUGGCUGGCCACUGUGAUGAAGAGUGGGUGCUUCCCUGGGGCCCGAGGGGUGCCAGGGAGGUGGAUGGAGACCACUUGGUCACCAGCCAGGGGUGGGCCUGCGGGAGUGGAGAAGGGGAGUCCAGGGCAGCCGGCUCCUGUGUCCAGAACGUCACCCUGGGCAGCCAGACUUGAGAAAGUCUGCCUCCAGAGGCUGCCCUGUCGGGCACGCCCCGCUUCCCCCAGGUGGCCCUCCCUUGCUCCCCACUGCCGCUUCCUGGAGGCCCUGGCACAGGCCAGCCCUGCGGAACCCACAGAGCCCAGGGGCACGGGGAGACGCCCCCUCCAGAAGUUCCCUUUUCAGAGAGAAGAAGCCUUCCCGAGGGGCCCCAGAGCUGCCCGUGGUUGGGGAGUGCUCACAGCCAGGGGGCCCUCCAGCCCGCCCAAAGCUGAGUCUGAACACGCCUGGGGACGGGCCAGGCUGCAGCGUAGACACCACAGCUCUUGCGCCUGCCUGGCGCUGAGGUGCGUCCCAGCUGGUGCCCUGGCCUCUGGGGCGGGGGGUGGGGGUGGUCCCACCAGAGGGGCCUCAUGCCUGGAGCUCAGGAGACGCUGGACAGCAGCUGUCCUGGGAGCCCCAUGGUGCAGGGACUCCCCUGAGAAGGGCCAGAGGGGCCAGAGCCUGCUGCUCAUGGCUGGGGUGUCCCGGAAGUGGGGACUCCCCCAGAAGAAGCAGUUAGAGGGCCUUAGGGAGACACUGGGGGGCCAAAGGUGGGCUGGGGGGCUGGGAGAUGGCCGUGAAGGGGCAAGUGGGGCAGUUAUUAGAGACUGCAUGGCCCUGCCUCCCUCACCCUCCUCCACACUGGAGGACAGGCCCUGCUGGAACAUGCCGGGCCCUGCUGGGUGUGCCUGGGGUUCGGGGCACAGCGGGCUGGCGUGGGGGCAGAUAAUGCUCCUGCCGAGGGCACUUAGCAGAAACAGACCUCAGGACCCCGCGGGGAAAUGUGGUGGGGUGAAGGAUCUUCCGGAAAAGCAAACUGCCUCCAGACAGCCGUGGUUUGAGCCUGCGUAUCUGGACUGA
This 1101-nucleotide long non-coding RNA is filed under the name Bos indicus x Bos taurus (hybrid cattle). RNAcentral describes it as "lncRNA (ENSBIXG00000000003.1)". The record is from RNAcentral. Lineage: Eukaryota; Metazoa; Chordata; Mammalia; Artiodactyla; Bovidae.